UACCAGCACCCCGAGUGGUCGGGACGAUUAUUGGGCCUAAAGCAUCCGUAGCCGGUUUACAAGUCCUCCGUUAAAUCCAGCUGCUUAACAGAUGGGCUGCGGAGGAUACUAUAAGACUAGGAGGCAGGAGAGGCAAGCGGUACUCAGUGGGUAGGGGUAAAAUCCGUUGAUCCAUUGAAGACCACCAGUGGCGAAGGCGGCUUGCCAGAAUGCGCUCGACGGUGAGGGAUGAAAGCUGGGGGGAGCAAACCGG
This 253-nucleotide ribosomal RNA is filed under the name uncultured bacterium. RNAcentral describes it as "partial 16S ribosomal RNA". It matches the Rfam family "Archaeal small subunit ribosomal RNA", at positions 474 to 727 of the family's 1478-position model. The record is from RNAcentral.